AUGAGUCUCUGGAAUGGGGUUGGGCAGAGCCCCAAACCUUGUCUCUGGCCUCCUGUCCCCUUCUUCCUCCACUUCCCCUUCCCAUCCCCCUCCUCUCCCCAUCCCUCCCCCUCCUCCCAUCCCCCUCUUCUUCCUCCACUUCCCCUUCCCAUCCCCCUCCUCUUCCCAUCCCCCUCCUCCCCUCCUCCCACCCCCUCCUCCCAUCCCCCUCCUCCCAUCCCCCUCCUCCCAUCCCCCUCUCCUGCCUCCCAUCCCCCUCCUCUACCUCCCAUCCCCCUCCUCUCCCCAUCCCCCUCCCCUGCCUCUCAUCCCCCCCUCCACCUUCCAUCCCCCUCCUCCCAUCCCCCUCCUCCACCUCCCAUCCCCCUCCCCUGCCUCUCAUCCCCCUCCUCUUCCCAUCCCCCUCCUCCCAUCCCCCUCCUCUUCCCAUCCCCCUCCUCCACCUCCCAUCCCCCUCCCCUGCCUCUCAUCCCCCUCCUCUUCCUCCACUUCCUCUUCCCAUCCCCCUCCUCUUCCUCCACUUCCCCUUCCCAUCCCCCUCCUCUACCUCCCAUCCCCCUCCUCCCAUCCCCCUCUCCUGCCUCCCAUCCCCCUUCUCUACCUCCCAUCCCCCUCCUCUCCCCAUCCCCCUCUCCUGCCUCUCAUCCCCCUCCUCUUCCCAUCCCCCUCCUCCACUUUCCAUCCCCCUCCUCUUCCCAUCCCCCUCCCCUGCCUCUCAUCCCCCUCCUCUCCCCAUCCCCCUCUCCUGCCUCCCAUCCCCCCUCCACCUUCCAUCCCCCUCCUCUUCCUCCACUUCCUCUUCCCAUCCCCCUCCUCCACCUCCCAUCCCCCUCCUCUUCCUCCACUUCCUCUUCCCAUCCCCCUCCUCUUCCCAUCCUCCUCCUCCACCUCCCAACCCCCUCUACCCAUACCUGUCCUCCUUCACUGUCCAUCCUGCUUCCUCUUCCCAUCCCCCUCCUCCACUUUCUAUCCCCCUCCUCCACCACCUCUGUGCCCCCUCCUUCGGUUUCUGCGCCCCUUCCCUGCCCCUCAGUCCCCCUCUGCCCUCCCCUAGUCCUCUCUGCUUUCCCCAAGCAAGCACAGGGUUCCACCUCCUCCCUCUCCUCCCCUCCCCGCCCCCACAACCCCCUCCCUCAUCGCCUCUCGGAGGGCGGACGGGUUUAG
This 1164-nucleotide long non-coding RNA is filed under the name Felis catus (domestic cat). RNAcentral describes it as "lncRNA (ENSFCAG00000046841.1)". The record is from RNAcentral. Lineage: Eukaryota; Metazoa; Chordata; Mammalia; Carnivora; Felidae.